This is an RNA transcript of Cucumis melo (muskmelon), 719 nucleotides long. RefSeq lists it as uncharacterized. NCBI's taxonomy places the organism in Eukaryota, Viridiplantae, Streptophyta, Magnoliopsida, Cucurbitales, Cucurbitaceae. The record is from RefSeq and is a predicted model, not a curated record. The transcript is spliced from 6 exons.
GUAGUAACAAGAAGAAGAUCAACUGCACAAUUGGAACACUAUAUAUAUACGAGUGCAAAAGCGCGCAAUGGAUUCAAUUGGAGCCGAGGGAAUGUGAAUUUGAUCAACAACAAUGGAAGUCAACAAUUCUUCGAAAAAUUCAAAGCUUCUCAACACACUCAAACCCUUGAUCCUUCUAGGGUUUAUCUUUUCAUUGCUCACUACCCAUACAGUUAUCGCCAAAUCUCGCCGUCCAGUCACUGAUGCUGAAACCCGGCAAAAGAAGCAGGAGUGUUACGCCGAUAUCGAGAGUGGAUUGUGGGGUUGGCAAUGCAGAUCUUCAACUACCGAAAAGGAAAAUUGUGCCCUGCGAUGUCUUUCUCCUACUUGUUACGAUCUAGUUUAUGGUAGUGAUCCGCUCGAGGAAGGAGAAAAGGACCUUGCUAGGAGUCAAGAGUAUAAGUAUUGUAUAUAUAAGUUGUCGAUGGGGGAGAGUCUGGAGGGUAUUAAGGGAUCCUUUGACUACUGAUAUUUGUGAAGAUUGUCUGUGCUAUUUAACUGUCUGAUGUUCCAUUAUGCCCUGUUCUUCUGACUUGCCUUUUAACGUUUGGCUCAAAUUAUAAGUUACAGAUACCAAGUUGCUAUGUAAUAAAGGUAAUCAUUUAGGGCAUAUCGAGGGAAAUGCUAUCUAAAACUAUAAUAAUCAUUUUUGACAAUAAAGACUAUUUUGUAUUCCAUUA